CCGAGUUUACACUCCCAAACCCCUGUGAACCUUACCUUUACUGUUGCCUCGGCGGUGCCCGCCGGAGGACCCAAACCCUUCUGUAUUUUUCUUACGCAUGUCUGAGUGGAUUUAAUAUCAAAUGAAUCA
RNAcentral lists this unclassified non-coding RNA (129 nucleotides) under Neotyphodium sp. 'BAFC 2223'. RNAcentral's name for it is "ITS1". Lineage: Eukaryota; Fungi; Ascomycota; Sordariomycetes; Hypocreales; Clavicipitaceae. The record is from RNAcentral.